AUUAUCCUUUGGGGGUCGGGAAAAAGUUUGAUUUGCUUACUUUCGUAAGAAGAAUUGAAGCAAGUUAAGCAAGAAAUUGAUCGAUUUGGGAGGUUGCAUCUAAGGCACAAUUUGAGCAUCGACGGAUGUCACCAAUAUGAGAAGUGGACAAAGCUAAGAAGGCAAAGGCAGACGAAGGAGCCUCCAGUAGCUCGUUUUUCUAUUUCCCCUGCACGGGAACUUAUCCUUUUUCAUGUUAUUUCCCUUUUCCCCCAAAGAUUGUAUCCCUCUUUUGUUAUCGUUUGUACGCAUUUAUGCCCGUUUCGUGUCUAUAUAAGUUGGGGGAUAAUGGAUUGACUUUAGGGAAGCAUAUACUUUCUUCAAAAAUCGUUAGCCCUGAACCCUUGGCUCAAAAAGAGUCACCCCAGUUAGGAUACGCAUUAUUAUAAUAUUUUGUGUGCUUGUGGUGUUUGUUUGGAUCAAAGGCAAGUUUAUCC
RNAcentral lists this long non-coding RNA (476 nucleotides) under Capsicum annuum. RNAcentral describes it as "long non-coding RNA (CANN_LNC013339)". Lineage: Eukaryota; Viridiplantae; Streptophyta; Magnoliopsida; Solanales; Solanaceae. The record is from RNAcentral.